GAUGAAUGCUGGCGGCGUGCCUAACACAUGCAAGUCGAACGGUCUAGUCCGCAAGGAUUAGAUAGUGGCAGACGGGUGAGUAACACGUAGCAAACGUACCCCAGAUACGGGCAUAACUCCGCGAAAGCGGAGCUAAUUCCCGAUAUGCUCACAGGUUGAAAUACCAGUGAGGAAACGCUUUAGUGAUCUGGGAGCGGGCUGCGUCCUAUCAGCUUGNGGUGAGGUAAUGGCUCACCAAGGCUAUGACGGGUAGGGGAUCUGAGAGGAUGUUCCCCCACAGUGGCACUGGAGAUACGGGCCACACUCCUACGGGAGGCAGCAGUUGGGAAUCGUUCGCAAUGGAGGAAACUCUGACGAACGCGACGCCGCGUGGAGGAUUGAAGGCC
This 386-nucleotide ribosomal RNA is filed under the name uncultured bacterium. Its description in RNAcentral is "bacterial SSU rRNA". It matches the Rfam family "Bacterial small subunit ribosomal RNA", at positions 28 to 416 of the family's 1533-position model. The record is from RNAcentral.